This 253-nucleotide ribosomal RNA is filed under the name uncultured bacterium. Its description in RNAcentral is "partial 16S ribosomal RNA". It matches the Rfam family "Bacterial small subunit ribosomal RNA", at positions 524 to 776 of the family's 1533-position model. The record is from RNAcentral.
UACAGAGGUCUCAAGCGUUGUUCGGAUUCAUUGGGCGUAAAGGGCGCGUAGGCGGCGGGGUAAGUCGGGUGUGAAAUCUCAGGGCUCAACCCUGAAAAUGCACUCGAUACUGCUCUGCUUGAGGACUGGAGAGGAGACUGGAAUUCACGGUGUAGCAGUGAAAUGCGUAGAUAUCGUGAGGAAGACCAGUGGCGAAGGCGGGUCUCUGGACAGUUCCUGACGCUGAGGCGCGAAGGCCAGGGGAGCAAACGGG